UACGUAGGUGGCAAGCGUUGUCCGGAUUUACUGGGCGUAAAGAGCUCGUAGGCGGUGUGUCGCGUCGGCCGUGAAAACCUGCAGCUUAACUGUGGGCUUGCGGUCGAUACGGGCAUCACUGGAGUUCGGCAGGGGAGACUGGAAUUCCUGGUGUAGCGGUGAAAUGCGCAGAUAUCAGGAAGAACACCCGUGGCUAAGGCGGCUCUCUAGUACGGUACUGACGCUGAGACGCGAAAGCGUGGGGAGCGAACAGG
RNAcentral lists this ribosomal RNA (254 nucleotides) under uncultured bacterium. Its description in RNAcentral is "partial 16S ribosomal RNA". It matches the Rfam family "Bacterial small subunit ribosomal RNA", at positions 524 to 776 of the family's 1533-position model. The record is from RNAcentral.